UUACCAGGUCUUGACAUCCUCUGACAUCCUAGAGAUAGGACGUCCCCUUCGGGGGCAGAGUGACAGGUGGUGCAUGGUUGUCGUCAGCUCGUGUCGUGAGAUGUUGGGUUAAGUCCCGCAACGAGCGCAACCCUUGAUCUUAGUUGCCAGCAUUCAGUUGGGCACUCUAAGGUGACUGCCGGUGACAAACCGGAGGAAGGUGGGGAUGACGUCAAAUCAUCAUGCCCCUUAUGACCUGGGCUACACACGUGCUACAAUGGACAGAACAAAGGGCAGCGAAACCGCGAGGUUAAGCCAAUCCCACAAAUCUGUUCUCAGUUCGGAUCGCAGUCUGCAACUCGACUGCGUGAAGCUGGAAUCGC
Molecule: ribosomal RNA, 362 nt
Filed under: Bacillus subtilis
Lineage: Bacteria; Bacillati; Bacillota; Bacilli; Caryophanales; Bacillaceae
Description: bacterial SSU rRNA
Rfam family: Bacterial small subunit ribosomal RNA
Source: RNAcentral